This 465-nucleotide ribosomal RNA is filed under the name Tamias sibiricus (Siberian chipmunk). Its description in RNAcentral is "partial 16S ribosomal RNA". It matches the Rfam family "Bacterial large subunit ribosomal RNA", at positions 1833 to 2517 of the family's 2925-position model. The record is from RNAcentral. Lineage: Eukaryota; Metazoa; Chordata; Mammalia; Rodentia; Sciuridae.
AGCAUAAAAAGUAUUAGAGGCACUGCCUGCCCAGUGACAUAAGUUAAACGGCCGCGGUAUCCUGACCGUGCAAAGGUAGCAUAAUCACUUGUUCCUUAAAUAGGGACUUGUAUGAAUGGCUUGACGAGGGUUUAACUGUCUCUUACUCCCAAUCAGUGAAAUUGACCUUCCCGUGAAGAGGCGGGAAUAUAAUAAUAAGACGAGAAGACCCUAUGGAGCUUAAAUAUUCUAGUCUAACAUUCACUCCAUUUCUACCCACGGGCAAUAAAACCUAUGUAAACAGACUACAAAUUUUGGUUGGGGUGACCUCGGAGUACAAACUAACCUCCGAAUGAUAUUAAUCUAGACUACGACCCGUCUAAAUUUUUAUUCAUAAAUUGACCCAAAAAUAUUUGAUCAACGGAACAAGUUACCCUAGGGAUAACAGCGCAAUCCUACUCAAGAGUUCAUAUCGACAGUUAGGGU